UAUGUCGGACUCGACGGUCUGCAAGGUGU
Molecule: small RNA, 29 nt
Filed under: Bombyx mori (domestic silkworm)
Lineage: Eukaryota; Metazoa; Arthropoda; Insecta; Lepidoptera; Bombycidae
Description: ovarian small RNA-24014
Source: RNAcentral